Molecule: ribosomal RNA, 397 nt
Filed under: Deltaproteobacteria bacterium
Lineage: Bacteria; Pseudomonadati; Myxococcota; Myxococcia
Description: partial 23S ribosomal RNA
Rfam family: Bacterial large subunit ribosomal RNA
Source: RNAcentral
UCGCAUCCUGGGGCUGGAGCAGGUCCCAAGGGUUUGGCUGUUCGCCAAUUAAAGCGGUACGUGAGCUGGGUUUAAAACGUCGUGAGACAGUUUGGUCCCUAUCUUUCGCGGGCGCAGGAUAUUUGAGAGGAGCUGUCCCCAGUACGAGAGGACCGGGAUGGACGGACCUCUGGUGUUCCAGUUGUCGCGCCAGCGGCACUGCUGGGUAGCUAUGUCCGGAAAGGAUAACCGCUGAAAGCAUCUAAGCGGGAAGCCUACCUCAAGAUGAGAUAUCCCUUUGGUAUGGAAACAUGCCAAACUGAAGACCCCUUGAAGACGACAAGGUUGAUAGGCCAGAUGUGCAAGUCCAGUAAUGGAUUUAGCUAACUGGUACUAAUCGGUCGUGCGGCUUGACCAC